CGGGGGCAUCAGUAUUCAAUUGUCAGAGGUGAAAUUCUUGGAUUUAUUGAAGACUAACUACUGCGAAAGCAUUUGCCAAGGAUGUUUUCAUUAAUCAGGAACGAAAGUUAGGGGAUCGAAGACGAUCAGAUACCGUCGUAGUCUUAACCAUAAACUAUGCCGACUAGGGAUCGGACGGUGUUAUUUUUUGACCCGUUCGGCACCUUACGAGAAAUCAAAGUGCUUGGGCUCCAGGGGGAGUAUGGUCGCAAGGCUGAAACUUAAAGAAAUUGACGGAAGGGCACCACCAGGGGUGGAGCCUGCGGCUUAAUUGACUCAACAC
Molecule: ribosomal RNA, 322 nt
Filed under: Fusarium oxysporum
Lineage: Eukaryota; Fungi; Ascomycota; Sordariomycetes; Hypocreales; Nectriaceae
Description: SSU rRNA
Rfam family: Eukaryotic small subunit ribosomal RNA
Source: RNAcentral